GCGCCUUCUGCAGCCAUGGCCAUCUGGCCCCCUGCUCGCUAUCCCACCAUGCACUGCGCGGGGGCCUCCUGGAGGGCAGCCCGGGGCAUGCUGGGAGGAGGGGCAAGAAGGGCUGUUCAGAGGGCGGAAGUAGUGCAAGGAGCCACGUAGGAACGCCUAAGAAAGCCCCACGAGAAAGCCGGGCCAGCUAAGAAGGCUGAAUGAUGCAUCCUCCAUCUGAUACAUUCUCUUGCCGUCGGUGUAAGAUUUAACUUGCCUUCUCUGAGCCAACAACACUCAGUAGGUGCUGCACUGUGGAUUUCUCAUUGCCCAGAGACUGACAGAGAACUUUAGAACAUCAGGGAAGAAUCAGUGGUAUCUCUGACUGCCGCCUCCUCCUGGCCUCAGCUCUGGGAUGGAAUGAGGAAUCAGAGUCCCUGGGUCCUGCAGGAGGACCUCCAAGCUGACCACCACUCUGGUCCUUACCCCACAGUCAUCCGGCGACUUGCCCUCCUGUCCUUCACACCACCUUCAGCUGUCCACAGUAGCAGCCUUCAAAAUGGACUCCCUGUUCUCUCCCACUGCUCAUGGUAGAGCUACCUCUUCUGAAGAGAAAGCCCAUGCUCUUCUCUUGGCCCACAAGGCCCUGCUCCAUCUGGGCCCUCUAACCUCCCCAGCCUCAGUCUUCUGGCCUCUUUCACUUCCCCAAACUCAGAGCCUUACUGCACAUUACCUGCUGUUCACUCUGACAGAAUGCCUUUCUACCCUCUGCCCUCACUGUGACUAACCAAACUCCUUGGUAUUAGGGGAGGUCUCACCCUGGAGAACCACCUCCUCCCCAGAAGACUUCUCAGACUCACAUCCGUCCACCCCACCUCACCCUCCUCUGGACUGGGUUCUUCUCAGGCACUUUCCCUUCACAGUACCCUCUGCAGGGAGACAUGUGUUGAUGGGAAUCUUUGAUUAACGUUUUUCAUGCCCACUAGACUGUGGACUUCACAAGGACAGUACCCUUUUGGUCUUACCACCUUGGUUUUCUCAGUCCCUACCCCCAACACAUCUUUUGAAUAAAGA
Long non-coding RNA from Zalophus californianus (California sea lion), 1053 nucleotides. RefSeq lists it as uncharacterized. NCBI's taxonomy places the organism in Eukaryota, Metazoa, Chordata, Mammalia, Carnivora, Otariidae. The record is from RefSeq and is a predicted model, not a curated record. The transcript has 3 exons.